GCCUCUCACUUUUCCCAGGGCGGAUGCGCCUGCGCUCAGCUGCCUGGGCGGGCUGGGAGGCGCGGGUUGAAAAGUCUCGUUCCAAGUUUGGAGAGAGAGAGAAGAGCGUCUCAGACCUCGGUACCCGCAAUCGGGGAGGAGGUAGGAGAGAAGGACGCGGCGUCUGGGGAGCACCCAGGCUGAAAGACGGAGCUGAGGCUUCGAGAGCUGGAAGUGUGUGACGCGCCUGGGAAAGGCAGGAGCGCCUACUGUUGGGCUGCUCUUGGCUAGCGAGGGGAGUCCGAGGCGGCGGCGAGGGGCAAACGACCCGACGCAAGAUGGCGAGUAAAGAGAUGUUUGAAGAUACUGUGGAGGAGCGUGUCAUCAAUGAAGAAUAUAAAAUCUGGAAGAAGAAUACACCGUUUCUGUAUGACCUGGUUAUGACCCAUGCUCUUCAGUGGCCGAGUCUUACCGUUCAGUGGCUUCCUGAAGUGACUAAAAUUUGGUGGCUUUGGUUCUGUAACAGGAAAAAUUGAAUGUGAAAUUAAAAUUAACCACGAAGGAGAAGUAAACCGUGCUCGAUACAUGCCGCAGAAUCCUCACAUCAUUGCUACAAAAACACCGUCUUCUGACGUGCUGGUUUUUGACUAUACAAAGCACCCUGCUAAACCAGACCCAAGUGGAGAAUGUAAUCCUGAUCUUCGGCUAAGAGGCCACCAAAAGGAAGGCUAUGGUCUUUCCUGGAAUUCGAACUUGAGUGGACAUCUCCUAAGUGCAUCUGACGACCAUACUGUCUGUCUGUGGGAUAUCAAUGCAGGACCAAAGGAAGGCAAAAUUGUGGAUGCUAAAGCGAUUUUUACUGGCCACUCGGCUGUUGUAGAGGAUGUGGCCUGGCACCUGCUGCAUGAGUCAUUGUUUGGAUCUGUUGCUGAUGAUCAGAAACUUAUGAUGUAAGGUGGAAAAUUCAGUGGGGUCUCAUUAUGGGAUGUCCUGAAUGACCGUCAGUGAUUGUGCUGGCCUGUGGUUGGUUGGUUGGUUUUUCUUUUUUUAAUUUAUAUAUGGCCUGCAAAAAAAGACAAAACCCAGCUUUAGUGAGGUCCAAUUGAUAGAAUGAUAAACUGCCAGUAGGUAUGGGCUUUUAAAAUUCAAAUUACUGUUCUGUAUGAUUGAACACAACUUUGUAUUUCGAAAAAGAAAGGAGAACAGGUCUGUAAACAUGAGGAAGGCCGCUUGGGGCAGUGGUAUAUAUAUAUCACAGGUGGGAUCAAGGUGGCUUCCUUUGAAGCCGAGGGAGAAGAGUGAUUGUGUCAAGGCCCGGCCCCAGGGCUGCCUUCAUUCAGCUGCCUGACAUGCUUUUUAUUUCAUGAACUCAUGUCGGAGGCAAGCAAGACAAAAUACUGAAAUUUGAGAAGGCCAGCUAGGUUUUAGGUAUCAAAUGGUUACCUUGUUUUCAGCGUAGUAUAUUGCGGAUGCUGGGAAUACUUGGAAGUCCAGGGGGGACCUGAAGGAGAAAGCCGCAGUGGCCGGGGUUUGUUUGCUGUAGGUUUAGAGCCUACCCCUUGGGUUGGACUCUGCGUGCUUGGGGUCUCUGAAGAGGCGAGUGUGCGGAGAGCAGUGGUGUAGACGCUGCUGACGGGGGCGCGGGAGAGAGGCGGGGCGGGGUGGAGUGGCCUGCUUGUGUCCUGUGUGCCUUGUACCCCUGUGUUGUAGAUGGGACACCAGGUCCAAUACCACCUCCAAGCCGAGCCACCUGGUGGAUGCACACACCGCCGAGGUCAAUUGCCUGUCGUUCAAUCCCUACAGCGAGUUCAUUCUCGCCACUGGCUCUGCGGAUAAGACUGUAGCUUUAUGGGACCUGCGUAAUUUAAAAUUGAAACUCCAUACCUUCGAAUCUCAUAAAGAUGAAAUUUUCCAGGUCCACUGGUCUCCACAUAAUGAAACUAUUCUGGCUUCAAGUGGUACUGAUCGCCGUCUGAACGUGUGGGAUUUAAGCAAAAUUGGAGAAGAACAGUCGGCAGAAGACGCAGAAGAUGGGCCUCCAGAACUCCUGUUCAUUCAUGGAGGACACACUGCCAAGAUAUCAGAUUUUAGCUGGAACCCCAAUGAGCCUUGGGUCAUUUGCUCAGUGUCGGAGGAUAACAUCAUGCAGAUAUGGCAAAUGGCUGAAAAUAUUUACAAUGAUGAAGAGUCAGAUGUCACAACAUCGGAACUGGAGGGGCAAGGAUCUUAAACCCAAAGUACGAGCAAUGUUUCUCUUGAAUGUAAUGCUACACACAUGCUUGGUUUAUCAAGCGCCAACAUGGCAUUGUAUAGUAGGAAGUCUCAGUGGUGGCGUAUGGCGUUCUUUACCUUCUGAUCCUAGCACUUUGAGUGAGCUGUUGCGUACUGUAUCAUAUUGUAGCUUUUAGGGAAGAAAGAAAUGUUGCUUAAGAAAGAAAGAUCAGCGUUGUUUUAAAAUACGAGUAGCAGGGGACUGCCUUUGAUUCAACUAUUUUAAGUCUUGUUUUCUCAAACUAAGUGCUUGCUGUUCCCAAAUAUGCAAGAAUAACUUUUACACUUUUUCCCUCCAACACUUCUUGAUUGGCUUUGCAGAAAUAAAGUUUUAAAAUAAA
Sus scrofa (pig) is the source of this 2591-nucleotide non-coding RNA. The record is from RefSeq and is a predicted model, not a curated record. NCBI's taxonomy places the organism in Eukaryota, Metazoa, Chordata, Mammalia, Artiodactyla, Suidae.